RNAcentral lists this long non-coding RNA (315 nucleotides) under Elaeis guineensis (African oil palm). RNAcentral's name for it is "long non-coding RNA (EGUI_LNC037213)". Lineage: Eukaryota; Viridiplantae; Streptophyta; Magnoliopsida; Arecales; Arecaceae. The record is from RNAcentral.
GGAGUAUUGAGGAGUACUCUGAUAGGCAACAAAGGACAUGACAGAAUUGGUCUGUCCAGUAACAUCCGAUCAAGCACACUGGCAGCUCCAUUGGCACACAUAUUAUGAUCGAUAGAUUGGUAAAACUUCUACACUUAAAUUAAUUUCAUAUUGAAUUAAUCAUAUGUAUGUUUUAAUUAAUUUAAUUUUAUUAUUUAUUUAUUACAGACACGGUAGCUGGAUCGUGCACCAGGGCAGCUACAGAUAUAGGAGGUCACAUAUCAUUUUAAAAGGAUUGAUGAUUAUUUAGAUCCUCGAUCUCGACAAAUCAUGGUA